CCCCUAGUAACUGCGAGUGAAGCGGGAAAAGCUCAAAUUUAAAAUCUGGUGGUCUUUUCGGUCACCCGAGUUGUAGUCUGGAGAAGUGCUUUCCGCGCUGGACCGUGUACAAGUCUCUUGGAACAGAGCGUCGUAGAGGGUGAGAAUCCCGUCUUUGACACGGACUACCAGUGCUUUGUGAUGCGCUCUCAAAGAGUCGAGUUGUUUGGGAAUGCAGCUCAAAAUGGGUGGUAAAUUCCAUCUAAAGCUAAAUAUUGGCGAGAGACCGAUAGCGAACAAGUACCGUGAGGGAAAGAUGAAAAGCACUUUGGAAAGAGAGUUAAACAGUACGUGAAAUUGCUGAAAGGGAAACGCUUGAAGUCAGUCGCGUUGACUGGAACUCAGCCUUGCUUUUUUGCUUGGUGCAUUUUCUAGUUGACGGGCCAGCAUCGAUUUUGACUGCUGGAAAAAGGCUGGGGGAAUGUGGCACCUUCGGGUGUGUUAUAGCCCUCAGUCGCAUACAGUGGUUGGGAUCGAGGAUCGCAGCACGCCUUUAUGGCCGGGGUUCGCCCACGUUCGUGCUUAGGAUGCUGGCAUAAUGGCUUUAAACGACCCGUCUUGAAACACGGACCAAGGAGUCUAACAUGCCUGCGAGUGUUUGGGUGGAAAACUCGAGCGCGCAAUGAAAGUGAAAGUUGAGAUCCCUGUCAUGGGGAGCAUCGACGCCCGGACUUGAACUUCGGUGAUGGAUCCGCGGUAGAGCAUGUAUGUUGGGACCCGAAAGAUGGUGAACUAUGCCUGAAUAGGGUGAAGCCAGAGGAAACUCUGGUGGAGGCUCGUAGCGAUUCUGACGUGCAAAUCGAUCGUCAAAUUUGGGUAUAGGGGCGAAAGACUAAUCGAACCAUC
Molecule: ribosomal RNA, 885 nt
Filed under: Fomitopsis pulvinascens
Lineage: Eukaryota; Fungi; Basidiomycota; Agaricomycetes; Polyporales; Fomitopsidaceae
Description: Flavidoporia pulvinascens partial large subunit ribosomal RNA
Rfam family: Eukaryotic large subunit ribosomal RNA
Source: RNAcentral